AUUGAACGCUGGCGGCAUGCUUUACACAUGCAAGUCGAACGGCAGCGCGGGGCUUCGGUCCUGGCGGCGAGUGGCGAACGGGUGAGUAACACAUCGGAACGUACCUGGAAGUGGGGGACAACCAGUCGAAAGAUUGGCUAAUACCGCAUACCAUCUACGGAUGAAAGAGGGGGACCUUCGGGCCUCUUGCUUUCAGAGCGGCCGAUGCCUGAUUAGCUAGUUGGUGGGGUAAGAGCCUACCAAGGCGACGAUCAGUAGCUGGUCUGAGAGGACGAUCAGCCACACUGGGACUGAGACACGGCCCAGACUCCUACGGGAGGCAGCAGUGGGGAAUUUUGGACAAUGGGGGCAACCCUGAUCCAGCAAUGCCGCGUGAGUGAAGAAGGCCUUCGGGUUGUAAAGCUCUUUUGUCAGGGAAGAAACAGGAGAUGCUAAUACCAUUUCUGAAUGACGGUACCUGAAGAAUAAGCACCGGCUAACUACGUGCCAGCCGCCGCCGUAACAC
RNAcentral lists this ribosomal RNA (505 nucleotides) under uncultured bacterium. RNAcentral describes it as "bacterial SSU rRNA". It matches the Rfam family "Bacterial small subunit ribosomal RNA", at positions 30 to 526 of the family's 1533-position model. The record is from RNAcentral.